This is a non-coding RNA of Danio rerio (zebrafish), 158 nucleotides long. The record is from RefSeq and is a predicted model, not a curated record. Lineage: Eukaryota; Metazoa; Chordata; Actinopteri; Cypriniformes; Danionidae.
GACGCAGGAGCCGAUGAAGAAGACUGGCCAGGAACUGAUGAGGCUGAUGCAGGAGCCUCCAAUAAAGAAGUCGAUGCAGGAGCCUUCAACAAAAGGAGCUGAGUGGUUUCUUCGGCAGACCGCCUUUGUCCUCAACUGCUAAAGAAGGACAAAAAAAA